CAAAGGUGCUUAUAAAUCAUUGAAAAUAUUAAUUUUAGAUUAUUUAUUCUAUUUUCGAUCAGUUAUCUAAACAAAGAUCAUGUUACUUCAAUAAUAACUAAUUAAUUUUUUUAUACAAUUGAAUAAGUAAAUUGCAAUGAGGAAAGGAGGAAAGAUUUACAAAUAUAGAGAUUGAACCUUGAACCUCAUCUCAAUUAACUUAAAAUCUGCACAAAUUUAUCGCUGAGCAAGUGAAACAUCCACAAUAACCAAUUAGUUGCUAUAUUAAAUCGAUUGCUGAACAGAAUAGCCAAAAUCGAAGCUUAACUAAAUAUGCACAAUAUCAACACUUAAUUUGUUUGUAAAUUGAAUCACAAUUAUAAACAUUAUAGCAGUUUGUUUUUGAAGGUGACCUUUCUAAAACUUACAAUUUCAUUGAAACAUCACCAGAAACUUGAAG
This 439-nucleotide long non-coding RNA is filed under the name Gossypium barbadense (sea-island cotton). RNAcentral's name for it is "long non-coding RNA (GBAR_LNC007515)". Lineage: Eukaryota; Viridiplantae; Streptophyta; Magnoliopsida; Malvales; Malvaceae. The record is from RNAcentral.